RNAcentral lists this unclassified non-coding RNA (445 nucleotides) under plant metagenome. RNAcentral's name for it is "partial contains 5.8S ribosomal RNA, internal transcribed spacer 2, and large subunit ribosomal RNA". The stretch from base 1 to 105 matches the Rfam family "5.8S ribosomal RNA", at positions 50 to 154 of the family's 154-position model. The record is from RNAcentral.
GAAAUGCGAUACGUAAUGUGAAUUGCAGAAUUCAGUGAAUCAUCGAAUCUUUGAACGCACAUUGCGCCUUCUGGUAUUCCGGGAGGCAUGCUUGUUUGAGUAUCAGUAAACACCUCAGCUUCCCCCCUUGUGGUGGUGCAAGUUGGACUUGAGCACUUUCCAAACCCUUUCCCCUCAUAUAACACUUGAGAGGAAAAUGUGCGGAAUGCUUAAAAUGCAGGUGCAGCUGGGAAUUCCCAUUUCAUUGUCCUAGGCUACAAGCAUUUCUUGUUUAAUCCGGUCAAACGGAUUAUAUCUUUUUGCUGCAGCCAAACGAUAGUUGGGUUCCAAAACGCUGACUGAUGCAGGAUAUCUGACAGAUUUUCGAGGGGGGUUUUUCUCCUUCGAUCUUUUUGUUUGUUCCACUCGAUCUCAAAUCAAGUAAGACUACCCGCUGAACUUAAGC